CCUCACCCGCACCCGGGCUCGCUCCGUCCCCGCACCGCCGAACCGAGUUCGCACUCGCGCUAUAUGUAAGACAAACACGAGCAGCUCCCCGAAAACGAGGAAGAACCGUAAGAACCGGGCGCCCCCACAACCGCAUCCCCAGCGCUUUUCUUUGAGGCUUUCAGAAACUUGGUCCGGCAGCGCAGCGCAGACACGCGAACUGGUUUAACCCUUGCGUGCAUUUAUUACCAGUGACCCGCUCAAGCGAGCUCACCCUAGGCAAAGGGUAGAACUCAUCUGAGCAUGUCUCAUUAGGGAAGCUCGUUUACAUCCCAGUGAGUCGAUUAAAUUGAUGCGUUACCCGGCGAUAAGCAGGGGGUAGGAAGGCAGAGUCUCCCUGGUCCCAGCGCUGCCUGCACGUGCUGCCCCAGAGCAUUCCCAGCGCAGCCCCGGGAACGUCAAACUCCGCUCCUGCCAGGCCGGGGCUGGAGCCGCCGAGUUAAGGAACAAUCCACCUCCUCAUCUAUGUUAUGUUCUUGCACUAGAUAAUUCCAGUUCUAAAGUAAACCCCACCUUCCUGAAGUUAUGCUUAUUUCCAUUUUAAAAUGUGAGAAAGUUGUGUUUUGAUUGAAUUCAAGUGCCCCUCCACUUUUAAAGCAACAUACUGUAGUUUUGUACUGAUAUAUGAGAAUUGGUAGACAGAACUUGUUCUUUAUCCCAUACUACUUCUGGGAAAUAGAACUUUAAGAAAUAGGACAUAGAUAUAACAAAAAAAAAUUAGGGAAACCUAAGUUUGCUUAGCAAUUUUAGAAAUCUGAUCUCUGUAAUAGAAACAAAAGCCAUUUUUUUAAUCUCAUCACCUCUUUAAUAAUAAUACCAUCCUGAACCUUGAGCAACUACUAGACACUGGAUGAAAUAUUACUACAUGCAGUUGUUAGCAGCAGUUUCAAGCCAACUAUUUGCAUGUGUCUUCCGUGUAGGUCUCCCAAACUGUUUAACUUGCAAGCAACUUGGCUUCAUAACCUCUCUGGGACCAGAAAUUCCAUCUGUUUCGCAAAUGGGUAAUGCAGUGGAAGACAGCUGCUAAGGAGAAUGAGACUUGGUUUUUUUAGGAAGGCACUUUCAGUUUACGGUGCAGAAUACCAAGAGAUGAGAUACUACUGCAUUUGAUAUUGUGUUCCUGUUACUAUUCAACAGAACGUGGGAAACCCAGGCUGCUGUGAUAUAAUUGGCAUUUUCUUCUCACCCCACCCAGUGAAAUCCCCAAAUCUUCCGUAAGGGCAACCUGAGAAACACAGCCAAAUGGAAAGUGGUUUUCUCAAAUCACUUAAGAGUAGAAGCAGAUUCAACAACAACUAGCACUACUUCCAUUGGAAUAAACCAUGCCCAAAAUGCCAACCUUUGACCUAGUGAUCAGGUCUCAGAGAUGGAAGAUGGCCAAAAUCCACACUUUUGAAGAGAGUUCAUAUCUUGAUACUUGUCCUCAAGAUCUAAGAUUUGUGCGAGGACCCCAGAAGAUGUGAUGGUCACGUUGCACUGUCAGAGGCCACCAGGACUCUCUGCUCCAGCCAAGAAACCAUGAAAGCAGAUAUUGUCUGAUAGAGCAGAUGAUAAAAGCUGACUGAUAUAGAUGUUAGUUACUGGAAGAAGGUUGCAAGAUGUAUUUUACCGAAGACAAAAGUAAAAUUUACCUUCCUUUAAAGAAAGAUAACAAAUAAGAAACCAUUGCAGAGAUCUGCAUAAGAUGUGUGUCAGUUUCCAUAAAACUAAUUAUUUUUAUGAGCAAACUUUCUUUAAAAAUCUAAAUGCAUUUUUGAAGAUUCAAACAUUCAUGAGAAGUUUAGAGACUGUUUCAAACCAUCUGUUAUUUGUCAAAGUUAUUCUUUUAAAAUAAUGAAGAUACUGAAAUGUAAAAUAGAUGCAAAAGCCCCUAAAAUUGUCAGCUUUUAUCACUCAAAAAUAACAGGCACGCUGAUUACUUAAAAAUGUGUUAAAUUUAAUGUUAAAUUUAUUCCUGAACCUGUUGAGUUUCCAAUAUAUGCUCUGAUCAUAGGCUUGACUAUGUCUUCCCACCC
Lepidothrix coronata (blue-crowned manakin) is the source of this 2054-nucleotide long non-coding RNA. RefSeq lists it as uncharacterized. The transcript has 4 exons. NCBI's taxonomy places the organism in Eukaryota, Metazoa, Chordata, Aves, Passeriformes, Pipridae. The record is from RefSeq and is a predicted model, not a curated record.